GGUAGGGUUCAUUCUUUUCAGUGAAAUCUUCUAUUUUAUAAGCAAUUAAAGAAACACUAUAGUCACCAAAACAACUUUAGCGUAAUGAAGUAGUGUUUGUUUGUGUACAGAUCAUGCAUCUGAAGUUUCACCGCUCAAUUUAGGAGUUAAAUCACCUUUGUUUCUGUUUAUGCUGCUCUACCCAUACCUCACUGGCUGUGACUGACACAG
Pelobates cultripes (western spadefoot toad) is the source of this 210-nucleotide non-coding RNA. Lineage: Eukaryota; Metazoa; Chordata; Amphibia; Anura; Pelobatidae. The record is from the annotation of a GenBank genome assembly.